GACGAACGCUGGCGGCGUGCCUAAUACAUGCCAGUUGAGCGCUGAAGGUUGGUACUUGUACCAACUGGAUGAGCAGCGAACGGGUGAGUAACGCGUGGGGAAUCUGCCUUUGAGCGGGGGACAACAUUUGGAAACGAAUGCUAAUACCGCAUAAAAACUUUAAACACAAGUUUUAAGUUUGAAAGAUGCAAUUGCAUCACUCAAAGAUGAUCCCGCGUUGUAUUAGCUAGUUGGUGAGGUAAAGGCUCACCAAGGCGAUGAUACAUAGCCGACCUGAGAGGGUGAUCGGCCACAAUGGGACUGAGACACGGCCCAAACUCCUACGGGGGGCAGCAGUAGGGAAUCUUCGGCAAUGGACGAAAGUCUGACCGAGCAACGCCGCGUGAGUGAAGAAGGGUUUCGGAUCGUAAAACUCUGUUGGUAGAGAAGAACGUUGGUGAGAGUGGAAAGCUCAUCAAGUGACGGUAACUACCCAGAAAGGGACGGCUAACUACGUG
This 497-nucleotide ribosomal RNA is filed under the name uncultured bacterium. RNAcentral's name for it is "partial 16S ribosomal RNA". It matches the Rfam family "Bacterial small subunit ribosomal RNA", at positions 28 to 507 of the family's 1533-position model. The record is from RNAcentral.